This 467-nucleotide ribosomal RNA is filed under the name uncultured bacterium. Its description in RNAcentral is "partial 16S ribosomal RNA". It matches the Rfam family "Bacterial small subunit ribosomal RNA", at positions 28 to 506 of the family's 1533-position model. The record is from RNAcentral.
GACGAACGCUGGCGGCGUGCUUAACACAUGCAAGUCGAACGGAAAGGCCCUGCUUUUGUGGGGUGCUCGAGUGGCGAACGGGUGAGUAACACGUGAGUAACCUGCCCUUGACUUUGGGAUAACUUCAGGAAACUGGGGCUAAUACCGGAUAGGAGCUCCUGCUGCAUGGUGGGGGUUGGAAAGUUUCGGCGGUUGGGGAUGGACUCGCGGCCUAUCAGCUUGUUGGUGGGGUAGUGGCUUACCAAGGCUUUGACGGGUAGCCGGCCUGAGAGGGUGACCGGCCACAUUGGGACUGAGAUACGGCCCAGACUCCUACGGGAGGCAGCAGUGGGGAAUAUUGCACAAUGGGCGGAAGCCUGAUGCAGCAACGCCGCGUGCGGGAUGACGGCCUUCGGGUGGUAAACCGCUUUCGCCUGUGACGAAUCGUGAGUGACGGUAAUGGGUAAAGAAGCACCGGCUAACUACGU